UGAGGUCAGUGAGUCCUGCCCGGAGUUAUUUUAAAUACAGACGUUUAUAGGGGUUUUCCUGCGACUUGGAAAAUAAAACACAGUAACCUAACAUGAUAGAAACUUGUCUUGUUGUCCAAGCUUGGUGAAAAUCUUGUGAGAAUGAAGCAUAGAAAUAGAUAACUACGAGUUUGAUUGUUGAAUGGAAACGGCACGUAUCCAGCUCAAAAUACGAAAAAUUGGAAAUGAUAAGAUAAAGCGGUGCUCUCUACGGUGAUGAUGAUACCGCCUGAGGGGUGCCACGCUGAGACAAUAACCGCGGAGCUGUCAACAAAACAAGGCAUUUAGAAAUAGCCCAUUCCAGCUAUAAGCAUGCGCGCGCACUCGCCAUGGGAACCUAUCUCAACUACCGGCAUGCAGCGCGCGCUUCGUUUGAUGUAAGCUUAAAAAAGCGCGCGCUGCAUUCUGAUAGUUGAGGUAGGUUUCUAAGAUUAUGCGCGCGCAAACUUAUAGCUGGAAUGGCCUAUUGAUGGAAGAGCAACAUCGGGCAUGUAGAACUCUCAAAAUAAUAAUAAACGCAGUAUUUAUAUAGCAUAUAGGAAAAUAAGACAAGAAAUGUGAAAGCAAUAUAAGUAUUUCUAGAUACAGGCACAAGACAUGGGCGUUAACCAAGGUGGCGGCUGUUGUCCUUUCCGGCGUGAAUUUGUUUGACGUUCGACAGAGAAAUAUCCAAGAGCAUGGAAUGGAGAGUAAUUCAGGUAAUCGUUUCAAUAAAUGACAUUUCAAUAAUAUUCAAGUCUGCCGAAAGGGAAAUCGCCUGUGUGCACCUGUGCAUAAGGACAUAUAGUCUGAUGAUGUGAAAGUGGUUAACAAAACUAAAUGAUUGUCGUAUAUCAGAAUCUGGAAGCUACCAUGCAAGCAUUACCUCUGAUAACUUCAUUCAAUACAUCAAUCACUAAAUUGAUUGAAGUUUUUCAAUUGAAAUUUAUUCAGUUUUAGUGAAAAUAAGGAACCUGUCAAGCCUCGUACAGACAUCACCAACAUGAAUCACUUUUGCGGGCGCCACUUCGCAAGACAAAGGAAAUGCUAGCGAACUACUUCACGGCACUUCCCAUCAAGGUGUUUACCAGCAAUGCUGCUGCUGUUAGCACAAGGCUUUAAAAUUGUUUAAAAUAUCUCUGACAUCUGUUUCAUUACCUAUCUCUCCGAAUAUCUUAUCUCUAUUUGCUUUGAAUAAACUGGACAAAAAGAUUCGUUCA
Nematostella vectensis (starlet sea anemone) is the source of this 1238-nucleotide long non-coding RNA. RefSeq lists it as uncharacterized. NCBI's taxonomy places the organism in Eukaryota, Metazoa, Cnidaria, Anthozoa, Actiniaria, Edwardsiidae. The record is from RefSeq and is a predicted model, not a curated record. The transcript has 2 exons.